AUACGGAGGGUGCAAGCGUUACUCGGAAUCACUGGGCGUAAAGCGCGCGCAGGCGGCUUGAUAAGUUGGAUGUGAAAGCCUACGGCUCAACCGUAGAACUGCAUCCAAAACUGUCAGGCUAGAGUGUGGGAGAGGAAGAUGGAAUUAGUUGUGUAGGGGUAAAAUCCGUAGAGAUAACUAGGAAUACCAAAAGCGAAGGCAAUCUUCUGGAACACUACUGACGCUGAGGCGCGAAGGCGUGGGGAGCAAACAGGAGUAGAUACCCUAGUAGUCC
Molecule: ribosomal RNA, 274 nt
Filed under: uncultured bacterium
Lineage: Bacteria
Description: partial 16S ribosomal RNA
Rfam family: Bacterial small subunit ribosomal RNA
Source: RNAcentral